UCUAACUUCGUGAUACAUUCUAACAUCUAAAUACUUCAACACUAUUAAAUUUAUCAUAUUGUUUUUGUGGUAAUUUUCAAACCAAGCAUCAUCUCCACAAGUUACUUUAGAAAAUAUGUUAAAACUUCUUUAUAGUUCAGUUUUAACUUGAAUUAAAUAAAAAUUGUAUGGAUUUUUUGAAUGGAUUUGAUUAGUGUAUUGUUUAAAUAUUUUUUCAGUUACAUUACAGAUUAUCUCAACAUCAGGACUUAGUUUUGUGAGAUUCUUAAUUUCUGUCAAACUACAUGAUCUGCUAUUUCCUUAUUAAUAUUCUGAUUAAGAUAAAGUAUGUCGAAUGAAAAAGGGGUAUAUAUAUAUAUUAUUUCUCAUAAAAAAAUUGUAUUGAUCCAUACACUUUUCAAUAAGUUAUAGCAUUAUAAAGUUAAAAAUGUAAAAAAUAAAAUCGAGAAUUUCCACACAAAAAUAGCAUUUGGUAGUCAUUUUCAUCAUGAAGAAAAAAUAAAGUACAAAAUUCUUUUUGUAAAAAAAAGUAUAUUACAUUAGCUUUAAUUUAAUAUAUAUAUAAAAGUGUCAGUAUUUCCGGUACACUUUCAAAAGUUAAGUUAAAAAAGUAAAUUUUUUGUGAAAAAGUUGUCAUUUUGAAUCCCUCCCUGUAGGCAGGUAAAGGGUCAGAUUUAUAAAGAAAAUAUACAAAAUAAUAGGUAAGUACCUCUCGUAUCUAUAUAAAAAAAAUUAUAUUGAUUUGGUCAUUUAUAAAAAAGUUAUGGUGGUUUUAAGUAAAAAAAAUUGAAAAAGUGUCGAAAUUUAGCGGUUUUUUAUCCCAUUUAUGGGGAACAAGGAAAAUUUUUUUAUUUAUUGAGGGUAAUGUCUUCGACUAGAUACGAUUUGUGAUCUUUUGACGUAUCGUUGAAAGAAAUCAGUUCGGUGAGAGCUGAGAAAGAGUGGUAACAGACACAAAAAAAAAAACACAUAGUAAAAUUAAUAUUUUCCAGCUUUGCAUCGAAGCUAAAACAGUAUAUUAUGCUUUUAUCGUAAUUGAAAUGUAAACAAACGGCCUCAAUUUCUUAUCAGUUCAAGACCGCGAAAACACAUUCCUAAUGUUCUAUCCAUGUUUAUAAGAUCUAUGGUAACGAACCAUCUAUGUCCCUGUAAAUUCAGUCUGUACAGUAGGGUCUCAAUAAUCCGAACACAGGCUAAUCCGAAAGACGCGGUAGUCCGAACGGGCUUGAGAAUUAUCUUAUUGCUAUAAUAUGUACAUAUUCAUUUAUAAAUAAUAUUUUCCGAUAAUAAAAUUUUUCGAUUAUGUUUGUACAUCCAACAUCGCACAUGUACGUCGUUUAGAUAUGAUACGUUAGAUAUGAACGUCGAUUACAUACAUUCGUCAGUUGAGUGUCAUACUGCAUAAAGAUCGCUUUACACUGCGUAUUUGUAACAUUUAUUAGCGUAUUUUUCUUAAAAUGGCUCCACGUAAGCAUGUUACAUUAAAAUUACAGGAUAAAAAACAAGGAAAAAAUAGAGAAGUUUGUCAUUGAAACGGAAAAUGGUCCAGGUAAGCGUAAAACGUUAAAUACGACCAUACAGUGGGCUGAACAAAACGAUGAAAGCUGCGAAGAACUUAUGUUGCUUAGACGUUUACGGGACAAGGAUACCAAUCCAUAAUAGAAACCAGUGUACAAAAAAAAAAAUAAAUCAAUAUUUUAAAUACUAAAAAUUUAUGGACGGAAAAGAUAAAAAAUGAUGAGGUUUUCAGGAAAAUGAAUACCCAAAAAUCGAAAAUGGAAUACGUUAAGACUGAGGAGGAAAGCAUGGAUCGGACAUGUAAUUAGGAAUAGUCCAUAGAUAACCACAAUAAUAGAAGGAAAAAUCGAAGGGAAACUUGGAAGAGGAAGGCCCAGAACCCCAUUUCUAAAGCAGGUGAUGGAAGAUAUCGGAAUAGGAACAUACUGGGAGAUAAAGAUGAUUAUAAGUGACAGAGACAAGUGGAGAGAAACAUCAAUAAUCAUUUAUCCAAUCUUCGAAUUAAAAAAAAAAAAAUUUCAUAAUCAAGACUCCUUAAAACAAAAUCUGUUUCAAAAUUUUAUAUUCAUACAACAUAACUUGGGUAACAUAAACCACCUUGAUAUCAUUUCUAUUUUUUCAACUAAUGUUGAAGAAUGUAAAAAGUCUUCUUUAUUAGAAGAAAAGUGCAGAAACACCAGGACACUUAAUUUACUAACUAAAAAUCCAGCAAUAUAAAUAAUUAUUUGUUUGGAAAAAUUACUCAUUACAUAAAAUUCUUCUCUGAUUGGGAUAACAUAGUAUUUAAAUUGUGUUUACUAAAUCUAAGAACAUUAGAAACCGACUGACUAAGUAACUGUGUUGCAAGCUUAACUUUCAAUUUUUGUUUAAAAAAAAUAUAUGUGUCUCUUUCUAAGUUCAUUAGCUAAAUAGCAGCAUUCUUGUUCUUGUAAUAUAAACAGUUCAUAAAUAAAAUUAAAAUCAAUGGUAUUAUCAUCUUUAUCUGUAAAAAUUUUUCAUUCAGCAAAGAGUUUUGCACUAGUUUUAUCUAAUAUAACUACAAUCUCAGAAUAAUAUAAAAUUUGGCCUAAUAAUAAAAAUAAUCAGAAAAUGAAAAAAUAAAUGUAACAAUUGAACAAAAUGUAUUUUGCAUACACAACCGAAAUUAUUCUUCAAAUCCUAAAUGAAGGAGAAUACUGAAUCAAAGUGACUCAAGCCGAGUAGAAUGACUCGAUUUUUUGGCAAAAAGGUUAUACAUCAGAGAUGAGUAACGUCGUCUCAAUAUUACAACAGAAUGGACACUGAUAAAAAAUUACAUGGUCAAUAUAGGGAGGUGAUUAGAAUCAGUCCACCAUUUUUAUGUAGGUAAAUCAAUGUGACCACUUUUUACACUAAAAUUGUGUAUACCUUUUUCAAAAUGUAAAGUAACAAUUUUGAUUACGGUAUUUAUGUUUUUUUUUAUAUUUUUGAACG
This is a long non-coding RNA of Daktulosphaira vitifoliae (grape phylloxera), 2970 nucleotides long. RefSeq lists it as uncharacterized. Lineage: Eukaryota; Metazoa; Arthropoda; Insecta; Hemiptera; Phylloxeridae. The transcript has 3 exons. The record is from RefSeq and is a predicted model, not a curated record.